AUGGCGGAGCUUGCGUCGGGCGCGGUGAGCUCGCUGCUGGGCGUCAUCCGCAACGAGGCCCUGCUGCUGGGCCGCGUUCGGCAUGACGUGCAGUUCAUCCAGGAGGAGAUGGAGAGCAUGCAGAGCUUCUUGACGCACCUGUCAAAGAAGGCGCCCGGCGGUGGCGAGCAGGACGAGCAGAUGCGCACGUGGAUGAACCAGGUCCGGCUGCUCGCCCAAGACAGCAACAACUGCAUCGACAUGUACCUGUACCGCGGCAACCCCGAGCUCCAUCUCGCCAGGGGCGGCCUCCGGCGCUACGUCUUCUGGCUUCCUUGGUUUGUGAACAAGAUGGUGGCGCAGCGUCGCGCGGCCAUCCAGCUGGGUGUGCUCAGGGAAAGGGCGCAUGACAUUGGCGAGCGGCGAGUCAGGUAUGGCGUUGAGGUCCCGGCGAAGGAGGCGGCAGCGGCACUUUCGCCUACAGCGGAGGAGCAAGCAUCCGCAUCAUCCGCUAGUUCCGGAGAUGAAAAAGAAAAGAGCAAUGAUCAACUCAUGCUAGCAAUGGCAACGACUAACCAUUCUGGUGUAAGAGGGACAUUUUACCAGCCUCGUACGCCGGAGAACAUUAGGGUGAAGCUGGCUGAAUGGAUAGAGGAUGUCGCGCAACACCACAUUGCUGAGGGGGAACCAAUACCAUCGGUCGCCGUUGUGGCACCGGAUAAGGAGGAAACCCUGGCUAUUGCGAAGGAAGCUUCGGGAAUGUGGGGAAAACGUUGUCCAGGCAGGCGCAGUGUCAUGGUCGACAUCCCAGCAGUGCACUUGUUUGCUCGAGUCCUUCGAACUCGGGACAUUCUGUACUACAUCCUGCGGAAGCUUCAAUCUGCCGAACACCGGCCCCAGCAACAGGAAGAUCAAGUCAGUGAAGAGGAGGCUGAAAAAAUAAAAACUGAUAUUCGCUUACAAAAAUGGAAGCUGCUCGAUGAAGUCACAGAAAAAAUCAAAGCAAUGAAUGUGGACAGCAAGUUUGAAGAAAUCAAGAACACCAUGGAAAAAAUGAAGGGCGGACAGCUGCAGAUCAACCUGGAACAAAUGGAUGAAGACCCGCUAGGUCUGCCAGAAUCCGUUAAAGAUGAACCCUUAGGCGUACUCCUCCAAGCGCUGUGGCAGCUCAAGCACAAGCCAGCUGAAGGUGCGCCUGCUACCAAAACAAGACCUAGAAAGGAAGGAAGACACAAUCAGAGACCUAGAAAGGAAGGAAUACACAAUCACGCACGAGGCUAUCAUCAAGGGAACAGCCAAGAAGCUUAA
This 1287-nucleotide ribosomal RNA is filed under the name Triticum aestivum (bread wheat). RNAcentral's name for it is "partial small subunit ribosomal RNA". The record is from RNAcentral. Lineage: Eukaryota; Viridiplantae; Streptophyta; Magnoliopsida; Poales; Poaceae.